CAAUAGCUACUUGCAUCAUACUAGAGAUGAUGCAAGAUCGACUAUGUCGAAUAAAAUUCUAGGUAGAAUUAUGAUAAUGACAUUGUCUGCCUAUGUGUCUUGACCAAAUUACGUGCCAGCAGUCGCGGUAAUACGUAGAAGACUAGUGUUAUUCAUGUUUAAUCGGUUUAAAGGGUACCUAGACGGUAAAUCAAGCCUAAAACUAAAAAAAAUAAAUGAAGGGACUAAUUUACUAGAGUUACUUAUGAGGGGGUAUUAAAGUACUGCUGGUGUAGAGAUGAAAUUCUGUCAUACCUCUUUUCAAUAGAAAAACAAUGGCACAGGUAUAGGCGAAGGCAUCCCCUUAUGUGAUAACUGACGUUGAGGGACGAAGGCUUUGUGUAGCGAACAGGAUUAGAUACCCCAGUAGUCAAAGCAGAAAAUGAUGAAUGUCAUAGAUUAGAUAUAUAAGUUUAUUCUAUAAAUGAAAGUGUAAGCAUUCCACCUCAAGAGUAAUUUGGCAACAUUGGAACUGAAAUCAUUAGACCGUUUCUGAAACCAGUAGUGAAGUAUGUUGUUUAAUUUGAUGAUCCGCAAAAAACCUUACCACAAUUUGAAUAUUUAUAUCUUUUAUUGUUUUUUCUUCUUCUUAUUAUUCAAUUAUUGAAGAAUAAGAAAAAUAGGCAAUAAG
RNAcentral lists this ribosomal RNA (670 nucleotides) under Evernia mesomorpha. Its description in RNAcentral is "SSU rRNA". It matches the Rfam family "Bacterial small subunit ribosomal RNA", at positions 376 to 1037 of the family's 1533-position model. The record is from RNAcentral. Lineage: Eukaryota; Fungi; Ascomycota; Lecanoromycetes; Lecanorales; Parmeliaceae.